UUCCAGUGGACGUUCAAAAACUCGGUUACAAAAGGAAUCUUCUCUCUCUCUCUCUCUCUUUCUAUCUCUCUAACCACCCUCCUUGAUCGGCAUCUCCUCCGCCGUCUCCCCAUUUUCCACGGUGUCUGAGAGCGGAGAAAUCGUAUUGUAAACACUACAGCAGACCAAAAUUUGAGAUUAAGCAUAAUAGCGCCUCUAUGGAAGUUGCACCUCAGAGUUCGGAAGCCCCAGUAACCAAGGCGGCUGAGGAUUCUGGAAAUGAUGCCAAUGGUGAUAAGGUUGUGAAUGGAGAUGCAAUUCAAGUAGCAAAAGAAAGUAAGAACGAAGAAGAGGAGAAUUCUUUGGGUGGGGAGUUUAUAAAAGUAGAAAAGGAGCCUCUGGAGGCGGAGGAUACUCCUCCAGCCCAAACAGCAUUCGUAGAGGAGGAUAAACCAACUAUUUCUGAAAGAAGUGCAAGCAAUCCGAGCAGAGAAUUAUUGGAGGCCCAAGAGAAGUCGAGAGAUUUUGAGCUUGAAAUUGAGAGAUUAGCUGGAAAUUUGAAGCAUCUAGAGUCGGAGAAUUCAAAGUUGCAGGAUGAGGUAUUACUCACAAGUCAGAAGCUCGAGAAAAGUGAAGAGAAGUAUGCAGUGCUUGAACUCGAUCUUAAGAAAUCGAAGGAGCAGAUCGUUGAAUCUGAAGAGAAAUAUAGUUCGCAGCUCAAUAGUUUGCAAGAGGCAUUGCAAACUCAAGAAGCGAAGAACAAGGAGUUGGUUGCGGUGAAAGAAGCAUUUGAUAGUUUGAGCAGUGAUUUUGAGAAUUCCCGGAAGCAGAUUCAAGAGUUGGAACAAAAAUUGAAGAUAUCUGGAGAUGAAGCAUUGAAAUUUGAAGAGCUUCACAAACAAAGUGGCUUAAAUGCUGAAUCUGAGGCAAAAAGAGCAUUAGAGUUUGAGAGGCUUCUUGAAGCAGAAAAACUGAGUGCCAAACAAAGAGAAGAUCAAAUCUCUUCUCUGCAAGAAAAUAUCAAGGAGUUAAAUGACAAGAUUGCUGAAAGCCAAAAGGUAGAAGAAGCACUUCGAACUACAGCAACUGAGCUUUCUGUUGUCCAGGGAGAUCUGGCGCUUUUUAAAUCUCAAGUGCUAGACUUGGAGAAGAAACUUUCCACGAAAGAAGGUUUAAUUGAAGAACUAGCUAAGGAACUGGACAUCCGAAAGACUUCAGAAUCUAAGAUCAAGGAAGAUAUUUCAGCCGUUGAAAACCAAUUUGCUUCAACUAAAGAGGAUCUUCGUGUAAAGAUGUCUGAACUGGAAGAAAUCAGGUUGAAGCUUCAGGAAGAAGUGAACCAAAAAGAAUCUGCUGAAUCUGCUUUAAAAACUAAGGAAGCACAAGUCUCCGAUAUUCAAAAGGAACUUGCUGCAGCUAUCAAAGAUAAAGAAGAGCUUGAAGCGACUCUAGCAGAUUUCUCUAGCAAUGCCAAACAAAUGAAAGAUUUAUGCAACAAUCUUGAGGAAAAGCUGAAGCAUUCAGAUGAGAAUUUGGGAAAAGCUGAUUCUCUUUUGUCUCAAGCUCUGUCCAACAACAAGGAGUUGGAACAGAAGUUGAAGGAUUUGGAGGAUCUUCAUAAUGAAACUGGAGUUGUCGCUCAAACUGCCACUCAGAAGAAUCUUGAACUUGAAGAAAUUGUCCGAGCUUCAACUGCAUCAGCGGAAGAUGCAAAAUCACAAUUAAGAGAACUUGAGACUCGAUUUGUAGCAGCAGAACAAAAGAAUGUGGAGCUUGAACAACAGCUAAAUUUGUUAGGAUUGAAAAACAAUGAUGCCGAGAGGGAAGUUACUGAAUUAUCUGAUAAAAUAAAAGAACUCGAUACUAAAUUGAUCGAUGUUCAGGAGGAAAAGAAGCAGCUGAAUGACAAAAAGCAGGAAUAUCAGGAUAAGAUACUGCAACUAGAAUCCGCAAUACAGGAGUUAACGUCGCAGCAUCAAGAUCUUGAGAAGGAGCUGAAGGCCACAAUUGGGAAAUGUGCUGAACAUGAGGAGCGAGCUAACAUAAAUCAUCAACGUAGCCUUGAACUUGAAGAACUGACCCAGAGAUCUAAUAACAAAAUUGAAGUUGCUGAUAAAAGGGUGAAUGAGUUGGAGUUGUUGCUUGAAGCAGAAAAAUACAGAAUUCAAGAGCUUGAAGGGCAAUUGAGUACUUUAGAAAAGAAAUGUGGGGAUGCUGAAGCAGAAACCAAGAAAAACUUUGACCAUGUAUCUGUCUUGGCGUCUGAAAUAAAGUCAUAUGAAGAAAAAGUAGCAAGCCUGGAAACUGCAUUGAAUGUUGCCAAUGUAAAGGAAAAGGAAUUAACUGAAGAAAAGAAAAAAUUGGAAGAUGCAUUGAAUUUGUCCAGCAGUCAGCUAGCUGAAUCAGAAAAUUUGGUGGAAGUCGUAAGGAACGAUCUGAGCAUUACUCAAAAGAAACUUGAAACUAUUGAGAGUGAUCUCCAGGCAACUGGUAUCAGAGAGGCUGAGGUGCUCAAAAAGCUGAAAUCUGCGGAAGAAAAACUAGAACACCAAGUAAGAACAAUAGAGCAAACUACUACGAGAAACUUAGAACUUCAGUCGUUACACGAGUCAUUAGCUAAAGAUUCUGAAACUAGGAUGCUGGAAGCAGUAGCAAAGUUCACCAACAAAGAAUCUGAGGCUAACUCUCUAGUGGAGAAAAUUAAAGUUCUUGAAGAACAAAUAAAAGCUUAUGAGGAUCAGAUAUCUGAAACCAAUGGAAGAUCUGCGGCUUUAAAGGAAGAAUUGGAUCAGACUUUGACAAAAUUGACUUCUUUGGAGAGUACAAAUGGUGAACUCAAAAAGCAUAGUUCGGAAGUUGAAAAUAAACUUUCUCAGAUUUCUUCAGAGAAUGAAUUAUUAUCAGACACAAACAUUCAACUCGAAACCAAGGUUAAUGAACUGCAGGAGUUAUUGAGCACUGCACUUUCUGAAAAGGAAACAGCUGAUCAACAGCUUGCUUCUCAUAAGAGCUCUAUUUCAGAACUAACAGAAAAGCACUCGAGAGCCAUCGAGUUCCAGUCUGUAACUGAAGCUCGUCAAGUGGAGACAGACCAGAAACUGCAGGAGGCCAUUCAAAAAUUCGAACAGAGAGAUUCGGAGGCAAAGGACUUGAGUGCGAAACUAAAGACAGCAGAGGACCAAAUAAAAGUGAUUGAAACAAAGGUUCUGGAAGCUUCAGAAAAUGUUGAAGCUCAUAAGAGUCAGCUCGAAGAGACACUUUUGAAAGUAAAGCAACUAGAAAGCACUGUAGAAGAAUUGCAAACCAAGAAAGUUGAUGCCGAAAAGGAGAUUGCAGGGCUAAAUGAGGCGAAGUUGAAGCUUACUCAAGAACUAGCUUUAUUUGAAUCUAAUUUGAGUGAUCUCCAGGCCAAGUUAUCAGCUGCAAACGUUGAAAAGGAUGAAACUGCUGAACGGCUUCAGACAGCAGAGGGCCAGAUUACAAUGGUUGAAGAAAAGGCUCUGGAAGCUUCUACAACUGCCGAAGCUUAUAAGAGUCAGCUCGAAGAGGCUCUUUCGAAAGUAAAGCAUCUAGAAACUAGCAUGCUGGAAGGAGUAGCAAAGUUCACCAACAAAGAAUCUGAGGCCAACUCUCUAAUAGAGAAAAUUAAAGUUCUUGAAGAACAAAUAAAAGCUUAUGAGGAUCAGAUAUCUGAAACCAAUGGAAGAUCUGCAACUUUAAAGGAAGAAUUGGACCAGACUUUGACAAAACUGACUUCUUUGGAGAGUACAAAUGGUGAACUCAAGAAGUAUAGUUCGGAAAUUGAAAAUAAAGUUUCUCAGAUUUCAUCAGAGAAAGAAUUAUUAGUGGAUACAAACAUUCAACUUAAAACCAAAGUUGAUGAACUUCAGGAGUUAUGGAGCACUGCUCUUUCUGAAAAGGAAACUGCUGAUCAACAGCUUGCUUCUCAUAAGAGCUCUAUUUCUGAAUUAACAGAAAAGCACUCGAGAGCCAUUGAGUUCCAGUCUGUAACUGAAGCUCGUCAAGUGGAGACAGAUCAGAAAUUGCAGGAGACCAUUCAAAAAUUAGAACAGAGAGAUUCGGAGGCUAAGGACUUGAGAGAGAAACUAAAGGCAGCAGAGGACCAGACAAAAUUGUUUGAAACGAAGGUUCUUGAAGCUUCAGCAGAUGUUGAAGCUCAUAAGAGUCAGCUCGAAGAGACUCUUUCGAAAGUAAAGCAACUAGAAAGCACUGUAGAAGAAUUGCAAACCAAGAAAGUUGAUGCUGAACAGGAGAUUGCAGGGCUAAAUGAGGCGAAGUUGAAGCUUACUCAAGAACUGGCCUUAUUCGAAUCUAAUCUGAGUGAACUCCAGGCCAAGUUAUCAGCUGCAAACGUUGAAAAGGAUGAAACUGCUGAACGGCUUCAGACAGCAGAGGGUCAGAUUAAAUUGGUUGAAGCAAAGGCUCUGGAAGCUUCUACAACUGCUGAAGCUUAUAAGAGUCAGCUCGAAGAGGCUCUUUCAAAAGUAAAGCAUCUAGAAACUAGCAUGCUGGAAGCAGUAGCAAAGUUCGCCAACAAAGAAUCUGAGGCUAACUCUCUAAUGGAGAAAAUUAAAGUUCUUGAAGAACAAAUUAAAGUUUGUGAGGAUCAGAUAUCUGAAACCAAUGGAAGAUCUGCAGCUUUAAAGGAAGAAUUGGAUCAGACUUUGACAACAUUGGCUUCUUUGGAGAGUACGAAUGGUGAACUCAAAAAGUAUAGUCUGGAAAUUGAAAACAAAGUUUCUCAGAUUUCUUCAGAAAAUGAAUUAUUAGUAGACACAAACAUUCAACUCAAAGCUAAGGUUAAUGAACUUCAGGGGUUAUUGAGCACUGCUCUUUCUGAAAAGGAAACUGUUGAUCAACAGGUUGCUUCUCAUAAGAGCUCUAUUUCUGAACUAACAGAAAAGCACUCUAGAGCCAUCGAGUUCCAAUCUGUAGCUGAAUCUCGUCAAGUGGAGACAGAUCAGAAAUUGCAGGAGGCCAUUCAAAAGUUAGAACAGAGAGAUUCGGAGGCAAAGGACUUGAGUGCGAAACUAAAGACAGCAGAGGACCAUAUAAAAGUGUUUGAAACCAAGGUUCUGGAAGCUUCAGAAAAUGUUGCAGCUCACAAGAGUCAGCUCGAAGAGACUCUUUUGAAAGUAAAGCAACUAGAAUGCAUGGUAGAAGAGUUGCAAACCAAGAAAGUUGAUGCCGAACAGAAGAAUGCAGGGCUAAAUGAGGCAAAGUUGAAACUUACUCAAGAACUAGCCCUAAGUGAAUCUAAUUUGAGUGAUCUCCAGGCCAAGUUAUCAGCUGUCAAUAUUGAAAAGGAAGAAACUGCUGAACGGCUUCAGACAGCAGAGGAUCAGAUUAAGUUGGUUGAAGCAAAGGCUCAGGAAGCUUCUACAAAUGCUGAAGCUCAUAAGAGUAAGCUCGAAGAGACUCUUUUGAAAGUAAAGCAUCUAGAAAGCAUAGUAGAGGAGCUGGAAACCAAGGCAAUUAAUGCUGAAAAGGAGUGUGCAGGAUUAAGUGAGGCAAAUUUGAGACUUACUCAGGAAUUAGCCUCAUAUGAAUCUAACUUCAGUGAUCUCCAGAACAAGCUAUCUGCUGCAAACGUUGAAAGGAAUGAAACUACUGAACGGCUCCAGACAGCUGAGGGCCAGAUUAAAUUGUUUGAAGCAAAGGUCCAGGAAGCCUCCACAGAUGCUGAAGCUCAUAAGGGUAAACUCGAAGAUACUCUUUUGAAAGUAAAGCAUCUAGAAAGCGUAGUAGAGGAGCUGCAAACCAAGGCAGUUAAUGCUGAAAAGGAGAAUGCAGGAUUAAGUGAGGCAAAUUUGCGACUUACUCAGGAAUUAGCCUCAUAUAAAUCAAAGUUCAGUGAUCUCCAGACCAAGCUAUCAGAUGCAAACGUUGAGAGGGAUGAAACUGCUGAACGGCUCCGGACAGCUGAGGGCCAGAUUAAAUUGCUCGAAGCCAAGGCUCAGGAAGCCUCCACAGAUGCUGAAGCUCAUAAGGGUAAACUCGAAGAGGCUCUUUUGAAAGUAAAGCAUCUAGAAAGCAUAGUAGAGGAGCUGCAAACCAAGGCAGUUGAUGCUGAAAAGGAGAGUGCAGGAUUAAGUGAGGCAAAUUUGAGACUUACUCAGGAAUUAGCCUCAUAUGAAUCUAACUUCAGUGAUUUCCAGACCAAGCUAUCUGCUUCAAACGUUGAAAGGGAUGAAACUGCUGAACGGCUCCGGACAGCUGAGGGCCAGAUUAAAUUGCUCGAAGCAAAGGUUCAGGAAGCCUCCACAGAUGCUGAAGCUCAUAAGAGUAAACUCGAAGAGACUCUUUUGAAAGUAAAGCAUCUAGAAAGCAUAGUAGAGGAGCUGCAAACCAAGGCAAUUAACGCUGAAAAGGAGAGUGCAGGGUUAAGUGAGGCAAAUUUGAGACUUACUGAGGAAUUAGCCUCAUAUAAAUCUAACAUCAGUGAUCUCCAGACCAAGCUAUCUGCUGCAAACGUUGAAAGGGAUGAAACUGCUGAACGGCUCCGGGCAGCUGAGGGCCAGAUUAAAUUGUUUGAAGCGAAAGCUCAGGAAGCCUCCACAGAUGCUGAAGCUCUUAAAAGUCAGCUCGAAGAGACUCUUUUGAAAGUAAAGCAUCUAGAAAGCAUUGUAGAGGAGCUGCAAACCAAGGCAAUUCAUGCUGAAAAGGAGAAUAAAGGGUUGAAUGAAGCAAAUUUGAGACUGUCUCAGGACUUAACCUCGUAUGAAUCUAAUUUGAGCGAUCACCAGACCAAAUUAUCUGCUGCAAAUGCUGAAAGGGAUGACACUGAUGAACGACUUCAGAUUGCAGAGAAGACUGUAAAUGAGUUGAAAUCACAGCUAGCUUUCGAAGAACAGAGACUACAGUCUCAGAUCGCUUCAAUGAUGGAAGACAAGAACGUCCUCAAUGAGACAUACCAGAAGACCAAAAACGAGUUACAAUCGGAGAUAGCACAGCUGGAAGGAAAAUUGAAAGAACAGAGCAAAGUUGAAGAAUCAUUAAAAUCUGAACUUGAACGUCUCAAGGCAGAGAUUACAGAGAAUAAUGAUUUUAAAAUACGCCAUAAAGAAGAGCUAAGUAAAUCUGAAGCUCUCCGGAAAGAAGAGCUCGAAAGCGUCCGAACAACAGCUGCUGGAAAAGAGACAGAAUUGAAAUCCAAAUUGGAAGAUUAUGGACUAAAAAUCAAAGAUAGAGACCAAUUAAAUGAACAAGUACAACAACUUCAGAAAGAAUUGCAGGUGGCAAAGUCGGAGAUUGCUGAACAGGACGCUCUCUUCAACAGAAAGAGAAAGGCGCUCAAAAAGAGCUCGAACGAGAAGGUUCACUUCAGCGGUCUCUUCAAGGUCUGGAAGCGAAAGGCAAAGAAAUUCUUGCUCUAGAAUCACAAGUCAAGGACCUCCACCACAAAUUGCUCCUGGCUGAGGCUAAGUCUAUACAAAAGGGUGAGGCUGAUACGGAGGGAGUAGAAGUAAAAUCCAGAGAUAUUGGAUUAAACUUUUCAACUCCAACAAAAAGGAAACACAAGAAGAACAAAGAAGCAACAGCUGCAGCAGCAUCCACGCCACCUUCAUCUUCUACUUCCCAAACACAGAUUCAAACUACUGAGGUUUCUUCAAUAUCCUCUUUGAAGCUUAUUUUCGUAGUAGCAAUUAUAUCUAUUAUACUUGGAAUAUAUCUGGGGAAGAGGUAUUAAAUUUUCUUUUUUUCUUCCCUUAAUUAGAAAAGACGUCCUUAUUUGGAAGCCCCAUCUUUGUAAUAUCUUUCGAGUUUAUGUUUUUAAAUUUGGUUAGGGAAUUAGUUUCUUUUUUUUUUUUUUUUUUUUCUUCCCCUCUCCCCAGCCAGCAUGUAAAAGUAAAUUCUAUUGAUGAUCAUAUGUCUAGUCUACUUCCUGUGUAGAAGUCAUUAAAAUUUA
Cucurbita moschata (crookneck pumpkin) is the source of this 7909-nucleotide RNA transcript. It is a transcript of the gene named COP1-interactive protein 1-like, with no coding region annotated. The transcript has 7 exons. The record is from RefSeq and is a predicted model, not a curated record. NCBI's taxonomy places the organism in Eukaryota, Viridiplantae, Streptophyta, Magnoliopsida, Cucurbitales, Cucurbitaceae.